GAGGAUAUGGCGGAAUUGGUAGACGCGAUGGACUUAAAAUCCAUUGAUUAUUUAAAUCUUGAGGGUUCAAGUCCCUCUAUCCUCA
RNAcentral lists this transfer RNA (85 nucleotides) under Gymnochlora stellata. Its description in RNAcentral is "tRNA-Leu". It matches the Rfam family "tRNA". Rfam says of the family: Transfer RNA (tRNA) molecules are approximately 80 nucleotides in length. Their secondary structure includes four short double-helical elements and three loops (D, anti-codon, and T loops). Further hydrogen bonds mediate the characteristic L-shaped molecular structure. tRNAs have two regions of fundamental functional importance: the anti-codon, which is responsible for specific mRNA codon recognition, and the 3' end, to which the tRNAs corresponding amino acid is attached (by aminoacyl-tRNA synthetases). tRNAs cope with the degeneracy of the genetic code in two manners: having more than one tRNA (with a specific anti-codon) for a particular amino acid; and 'wobble' base-pairing, i.e. permitting non-standard base-pairing at the 3rd anti-codon position. The record is from RNAcentral. Lineage: Eukaryota; Cercozoa; Chlorarachniophyceae.